This 646-nucleotide ribosomal RNA is filed under the name Circinaria sp. Its description in RNAcentral is "SSU rRNA". It matches the Rfam family "Bacterial small subunit ribosomal RNA", at positions 35 to 962 of the family's 1533-position model. Lineage: Eukaryota; Fungi; Ascomycota; Lecanoromycetes; Pertusariales; Megasporaceae. The record is from RNAcentral.
GCUAGUUGCAUUAAAUUCGAUUAAUUCGAAGUUAAUGCAUCAUCGACUAUGUCGAAUAAAGUUCUAGGUAGAGUUAUGAUAAUGACAUUUUCUAUCUAUGUGUCUUGACCAAAUCACGUGCCAGCAGUCGCGGUAAUACGUGGAAGACUAGUGUUAUUCAUCUUUAAUAGGUUUAAAGGGUACUUAGACGGUAAAUUUAGCCCAGAUAAAAACAAAGGGUACUAAUUAUACUAGAGUUUUAUAAGAGGAGGGUGUGUACUAGUGGUGAAGAGAUGAAAUUCUGUCAUACCAUUAUGACAGGCAACGGCGAAAGCAACCUUUAUUUAAAAACUGACGUUAAAGGACGAAGGCUUUGUGUCACCAACAGGAUUAGAUACCCAAGCAGUCUUAGCAGACAAUUAUGAAUGCCAUAGAUAAGAAAUCCUUCUAUAAGUAAGAGAACAUUUAUUUUUCUUUUUUGGAAUCUAACCUCCAAAAAUGAAAGAGGAUGGACUGAAAUAUUACCUAUAAGAAAGGAUGUAUUUUUUGUCUAUAAAUGAAAGUGUAAGCAUUCCACCUCAAGAGUAAUGUGGCAACGCAGAAACUGAAAUCAUUAGACCGUUUCUGAAACCAGUAGUGAAGUAUGUUGUUUAAUUAGAUGGUCCGC